RNAcentral lists this ribosomal RNA (1173 nucleotides) under Lactiplantibacillus plantarum. RNAcentral describes it as "bacterial SSU rRNA". It matches the Rfam family "Bacterial small subunit ribosomal RNA", at positions 317 to 1482 of the family's 1533-position model. Lineage: Bacteria; Bacillati; Bacillota; Bacilli; Lactobacillales; Lactobacillaceae. The record is from RNAcentral.
UUCUGAGACACGGCCCAAACUCCUACGGGAGGCAGCAGUAGGGAAUCUUCCACAAUGGACGAAAGUCUGAUGGAGCAACGCCGCGUGAGUGAAGAAGGGUUUCGGCUCGUAAAACUCUGUUGUUAAAGAAGAACAUAUCUGAGAGUAACUGUUCAGGUAUUGACGGUAUUUAACCAGAAAGCCACGGCUAACUACGUGCCAGCAGCCGCGGUAAUACGUAGGUGGCAAGCGUUGUCCGGAUUUAUUGGGCGUAAAGCGAGUGCAGGCGGUUUUUUAAGUCUGAUGUGAAAGCCUUCGGCUCAACCGAAGAAGUGCAUCGGAAACUGGGAAACUUGAGUGCAGAAGAGGACAGUGGAACUCCAUGUGUAGCGGUGAAAUGCGUAGAUAUAUGGAAGAACACCAGUGGCGAAGGCGGCUGUCUGGUCUGUAACUGACGCUGAGGCUCGAAAGUAUGGGUAGCAAACAGGAUUAGAUACCCUGGUAGUCCAUACCGUAAACGAUGAAUGCUAAGUGUUGGAGGGUUUCCGCCCUUCAGUGCUGCAGCUAACGCAUUAAGCAUUCCGCCUGGGGAGUACGGCCGCAAGGCUGAAACUCAAAGGAAUUGACGGGGGCCCGCACAAGCGGUGGAGCAUGUGGUUUAAUUCGAAGCUACGCGAAGAACCUUACCAGGUCUUGACAUACUAUGCAAAUCUAAGAGAUUAGACGUUCCCUUCGGGGACAUGGAUACAGGUGGUGCAUGGUUGUCGUCAGCUCGUGUCGUGAGAUGUUGGGUUAAGUCCCGCAACGAGCGCAACCCUUAUUAUCAGUUGCCAGCAUUAAGUUGGGCACUCUGGUGAGACUGCCGGUGACAAACCGGAGGAAGGUGGGGAUGACGUCAAAUCAUCAUGCCCCUUAUGACCUGGGCUACACACGUGCUACAAUGGAUGGUACAACGAGUUGCGAACUCGCGAGAGUAAGCUAAUCUCUUAAAGCCAUUCUCAGUUCGGAUUGUAGGCUGCAACUCGCCUACAUGAAGUCGGAAUCGCUAGUAAUCGCGGAUCAGCAUGCCGCGGUGAAUACGUUCCCGGGCCUUGUACACACCGCCCGUCACACCAUGAGAGUUUGUAACACCCAAAGUCGGUGGGGUAACCUUUUAGGAACCAGCCGCCUAAGGUGGGACAGAUGAUUAGGGUG